AAAGAAAUUAUUAUAAACGGGGAAGAAAGAAACGGAAAGAAGUUCCAUAGAAGAAAGAUCAAAUAUUCUUCCAACAUGGAUCCCUUGGAAGAAAAGAAAAGGGCUCGAGAUGGGUUAACUGAAGGAAGGUAACAACAGGAGGAAUAUCGGUUCAACGAUUCUCGGAAACGAGGAAGAAUACUACACCAUAAAAGAAAGGGUAGUAAAAGAAAGAAGAGGAAGGGGUGGAAGAGGAGGUGGGGGGAAGGGAUGGAGGACAUGUCCGUUCGCGUGGAAGGCCAACUGACGCGAAAGUAAAAAAAAAAAAAAAAGAAAAAGAAGCAGAGUUGCUGUCAACAUUGUCGUCGAAGUUGUAGAAAAUAAAACAAGAAGAAGAAGAAAAAAAAAAUAAAAAGAAGAAGAAUAAGUGCUUACUGUGUAACAGAAGUUAGUGGUGCUAGUGUUAGUGUGAUGAUGGUUGUAGUGGGUGGUGGGUGGGUGAUAACCUUCUUAUUGGUUCGUCGUUUGAUUCGCGUCUUAAAUCCGAGUUCAUUUUUGUUCCCCUUUGAAAAAUAGAACAAGAAAUAGAGUGAGAUAGGAUACCUUGUGAUAAAGAAAGAAAGAAACAAAUAGAAAGAAUAAAAUGCAAGCUUAUUCUUUUCUUCUCUGUCACACUCAUAGGGGGGUGGGGGUGGGGGGUAUACCGAAUUCGAUUUGAUCUGCGAAAAGCUCGAAAGCUUUCGUGAUAAAACGUGACACUCUCUACUAUUCUAUACUUGCUUUCUCGAUGAAGGUUUGUUAUUGUCGGUGAGAAAGAAAAAGCUUGAUACUCGUACACAUACACACAUAUACACACAAAUACAAAGUGAAAGAAAGAAAGAAAGGAUUAGUUUUCUUCACAUAGUCUAAAAGAUAGUGAGAAGCUUGCGGGGAAUAAAAAAAAAACUAAAAGGAAAAAGAUAAGAGUGAAAAAAGUAUUGAAAUAUCGAUUUAAAGUGGGGAGGCUCCCCGUCGGGAGAUCAAAAUCACUAAAAAGAAAA
Long non-coding RNA from Polistes canadensis, 1019 nucleotides. RefSeq lists it as uncharacterized. Lineage: Eukaryota; Metazoa; Arthropoda; Insecta; Hymenoptera; Vespidae. The transcript is spliced from 2 exons. The record is from RefSeq and is a predicted model, not a curated record.